UGACUCAUGUUCUUGGUGUAGCACCAGCCUGGGCCGUGGGCUCUGUCUUAGGGCUUACCUAUUGGUGCUAGUAUCUGCGUGGGGGUCCUGUGUAUGGGAUUGAUGGGGCAAACAAGUUUUCUUCUCUGCUUUACAGGCAUAUGUCCCUCCCCAACUCUUCUAUAAUGGGAAGGUGGAUUAUUUUGACCUUCAGUGACUCAGAGGUCUUCCGUCUCAUCUCAAGAAGACUCUGAAAGCUCAUUAUGGUGUGUGGUGGGGACAGCGGAGACGUGCUGAGCAGAGUCAGGUCUCAGUCCCUCUUUUUCUAAGAACUCUGACAGACGUCAUCAAUGGCCUCAAGCAUUUCCAGAGUGUACAAAAGCAGCAAUCUGUAGAAAGAAAAAAAAUUAAAGAAACCUUAAGAUCAUUUCUUUCUAGACUCCAAUCUCAAACUGCUCUUUCUUAAAAGCAACUCAUACGUAUCCUUGUAUGCUUUCUUCAAUCUCAUUUACAGUGCAGUAGUAAAAGCCAUCAGACUUU
Meleagris gallopavo (turkey) is the source of this 519-nucleotide non-coding RNA. The record is from RefSeq and is a predicted model, not a curated record. Lineage: Eukaryota; Metazoa; Chordata; Aves; Galliformes; Phasianidae.